UAGUCAUAUGCUUGUCUCAAAGAUUAAGCCAUGCAUGUCUAAGCACAAGCCGAUUAAUGGUGAAGCCGCGAAUGGCUCAUUACAACAGCCAUAGUUUCUUAGAUCUUACUUUUCUACUUGGAUAACUGUGGUAAUUCUAGAGCUAAUACACGCAAACAAGCUCAGACCUUACGGAAUGAGCGCAUUUAUUAGAACAAAAACCAAUCGGGCUUCGGUCCGUCAUUUGGUGAAUCUGAAUAACUUUGCUGAUCGCACGGUCUUCGUACCGGCGGCAUAUCUUUCAAAUGUCUGCCUUAUCAACUUUCGAUGGUAGUUUGUGCGCCUACCAUGGUUGUAACGGGUAACGGAGAAUAAGGGUUCGACUCCGGAGAGGGAGCCUGAGAAACGGCUACCACAUCCAAGGAAGGCAGCAGGCACGCAAAUUACCCACUCCCGGCACGGGGAGGUAGUGACGAAAAAUAACGAGACGGCUCGCUAUGCGGUCCGUCAUCGGAAUGGGUACAAUUUAAAUCCUUUAACGAGGAUCUAUU
Molecule: ribosomal RNA, 530 nt
Filed under: uncultured eukaryote
Lineage: Eukaryota
Description: SSU rRNA
Rfam family: Eukaryotic small subunit ribosomal RNA
Source: RNAcentral